AUUGAACGCUGGCGGCAGGCCUAACACAUGCAAGUCGAACGGUAACAGGAAGAAGCUUGCUUCUUUGCUGACGAGUGGCGGACGGGUGAGUAAUGUCUGGGAAACUGCCUGAUGGAGGGGGAUAACUACUGGAAACGGUAGCUAAUACCGCAUAACGUCGCAAGACCAAAAAGGGGGACCUUCGGGCCUCUUGCCAUCGGAUGUGCCCAGAUGGGAUUAGCUAGUAGGUGGGGUAACGGCUCACCUAGGCGACGAUCCCUAGCUGGUCUGAGAGGAUGACCAGCCACACUGGAACUGAGACACGGUCCAGACUCCUACGGGAGGCAGCAGUGGGGAAUAUUGCACAAUGGGCGCAAGUCUGAUGCAGCCAUGCCGCGUGUAUGAAGAAGGCCUUCGGGUUGUAAAGUACUUUCAGCGGGGAGGAAGGGAGUAAAGUUAAUACUUUUGCUCAUUGACGUUACCCGCAGAAGAAGCACCGGCUAACUCCGUG
This 490-nucleotide ribosomal RNA is filed under the name uncultured bacterium. RNAcentral describes it as "partial 16S ribosomal RNA". It matches the Rfam family "Bacterial small subunit ribosomal RNA", at positions 30 to 507 of the family's 1533-position model. The record is from RNAcentral.